RNAcentral lists this ribosomal RNA (407 nucleotides) under uncultured bacterium. Its description in RNAcentral is "partial 16S ribosomal RNA". It matches the Rfam family "Bacterial small subunit ribosomal RNA", at positions 30 to 526 of the family's 1533-position model. The record is from RNAcentral.
AUUGAACGCUGGCGGCGGGCCUAACACAUGCAAGUCGAGCGGAGCGGGGGGCGGGUGAGUAAUGCCUAGGAAUCUACCUGGUAGUGGAGGAUAAGGUCAGGAAACGGGCGCUAAUACAGCAUCCUAUAAGAUGAGCAUAGUACGUAUUGGCGAGUUGGUGGGGUAAAGGCCUACCAAGGCGACGAUCCGUAACUGGUCUGAGAGGUUGAUCAGCCACACUGGAACUGAGACACGGUCCAGACUCCUACGGUAGGCAGCAGUGGGGAAUAUUGCACAAUGGACGAAAGCCUGAUCCAGCCAUGCCGCGUGUGUGAAGAAGGUCUUCGGAUUGUAAAGCACUUUAAGUUGGGAGGCGUUACCAACAGAGUAAGCACCGGCUAACUCCGUGCCAGCAGCCGCGGUAAUUC